This 644-nucleotide ribosomal RNA is filed under the name Mycetinis alliaceus. Its description in RNAcentral is "eukaryotic LSU rRNA". The stretch from base 211 to 364 matches the Rfam family "5.8S ribosomal RNA". The record is from RNAcentral. Lineage: Eukaryota; Fungi; Basidiomycota; Agaricomycetes; Agaricales; Omphalotaceae.
AGUCUGUUGCUGGCCUUCUGGCAUGUGCACGUCUUUUUCGGAAUCUAUUCAUCCACCUGUGCACUUUUUGUAGAAGUUCUUUUUGUGAGGUUUUGGUUGCAGACUUGUCUGCAGUUGACUCUUCGCAGAGAGGCUUCUAUGUCUUACAAACUCUUAGUAUGUUUUAGAAUGUCUUUUACUGGGACUUAACUGGCCCUUUAAACUUUAUACAACUUUCAGCAACGGAUCUCUUGGCUCUCCCAUCGAUGAAGAACGCAGCGAAAUGCGAUAAGUAAUGUGAAUUGCAGAAUUCAGUGAAUCAUCGAAUCUUUGAACGCACCUUGCGCCCUUUGGUAUUCCGAAGGGCAUGCCUGUUUGAGUGUCAUUAAAUUCUCAACUUCAAAAGUUUUAUAGCUUAUUGAAGCUUGGAUGUGGGAGCUUGCUGGCGUCUUAGAUGUUCGGCUCUCCUUAAAUGCAUUAGUGGAAACUCGUUUGUUGGACCACCCUUGGUGUGAUAAUUAUCUACGCCUUGGUCAGUUCGACAGCUUUGUUCGAUCGUCUUCAGACGCUCUUUUUCGAGUGUUCUGGUUGGGGUGGCUGCGUUAAUUCGCUCUGCCUGCAUAAGAUCUUAUAGAGUAGGGACGUCUGCUUUCUACCGUCUGGGU